UCCGUAGGUGAACCUGCGGAAGGAUCAUUACCGAGUGCGGGUCCUUUGGGCCCAACCUCCCAUCCGUGUCUAUUGUACCCUGUUGCUUCGGCGGGCCCGCCGCUUGUCGGCCGCCGGGGGGGCGCCUCUGCCCCCCGGGCCCGUGCCCGCCGGAGACCCCAACACGAACACUGUCUGAAAGCGUGCAGUCUGAGUUGAUUGAAUGCAAUCAGUUAAAACUUUCAACAAUGGAUCUCUUGGUUCCGGCAUCGAUGAAGAACGCAGCGAAAUGCGAUAACUAAUGUGAAUUGCAGAAUUCAGUGAAUCAUCGAGUCUUUGAACGCACAUUGCGCCCCCUGGUAUUCCGGGGGGCAUGCCUGUCCGAGCGUCAUUGCUGCCCUCAAGCCCGGCUUGUGUGUUGGGUCGCCGUCCCCCUCUCCGGGGGGACGGGCCCGAAAGGCAGCGGCGGCACCGCGUCCGAUCCUCGAGCGUAUGGGGCUUUGUCACAUGCUCUGUAGGAUUGGCCGGCGCCUGCCGACGUUUUCCAACCAUUCUUUCCAGGUUGACCUCGGAUCAGGUAGGGAUACCCGCUGAACUUAAGCAUAUCAAUAAGCGGAGG
This 598-nucleotide ribosomal RNA is filed under the name Aspergillus niger. RNAcentral's name for it is "eukaryotic LSU rRNA". The stretch from base 217 to 370 matches the Rfam family "5.8S ribosomal RNA". The record is from RNAcentral. Lineage: Eukaryota; Fungi; Ascomycota; Eurotiomycetes; Eurotiales; Aspergillaceae.